CCUCGUUGCCAUUCUAGGGCACGGAUUUGGGAUUUUUGGAAAUCUAGGGUUUUGAUCUAUUUUAAUAGGUCGUAAACCAAAUUGCUAGGUUUCGGAACGCGUCGGCGAAGACGGUUUGUCGAUCCGACGAGCGAGUGCGGAGAAAUCGCCGAAUCUAGUACUUGAGGGCUCGCUUCGCCCCGAGGAGUUGAAGCGACGUGCAAGGACCGCAGCGUCGAGUUUUCUACCGUCGCGGCAUCACCAAGAGGUGG
Molecule: long non-coding RNA, 251 nt
Filed under: Ananas comosus (pineapple)
Lineage: Eukaryota; Viridiplantae; Streptophyta; Magnoliopsida; Poales; Bromeliaceae
Description: long non-coding RNA (ACOM_LNC044284)
Source: RNAcentral